This 139-nucleotide small RNA is filed under the name Phenylobacterium zucineum HLK1. RNAcentral's name for it is "Caulobacter sRNA CC3664". It matches the Rfam family "Caulobacter sRNA CC3664". The record is from Rfam by way of RNAcentral. Lineage: Bacteria; Pseudomonadati; Pseudomonadota; Alphaproteobacteria; Caulobacterales; Caulobacteraceae.
GUCGGUUGGUCGGACCUGGCGGUCCCGGAUCCUGAACAGCCCCCCCAGCCCCCCUGGAUCGGCGGACUGGCCAACCGGCGCUUUGGUAUCCCCUCCCCUAGCGCAGCCCGUGCGGUCCCUCUCUCCAGCCGCGCGGGUU